Molecule: ribosomal RNA, 230 nt
Filed under: uncultured Glomeromycotina
Lineage: Eukaryota; Fungi; Glomeromycota
Description: partial 18S ribosomal RNA
Rfam family: Eukaryotic small subunit ribosomal RNA (bases 46-230)
Source: RNAcentral
AGAUCAAUAUAUUGGUCAUGCUUAGGUAUGUACUGGUAUUAUUGAUUUCUCCUCUGAAGAACCAUGAUGUCAUUAAUUUGAUGUCGUGGGAGAUCAGGACUGUUACUUUGAAAAAAUUAGAGUGUUUAAAGCAGGCUUUCGCUUGAAUACAUUAGCAUGGAAUAAUGAAAUAGGACGUUUGAUUCUAUUUUGUUGGUUUCUAGGAUCGACGUAAUGAUUAAUAGGGAUAG